Homo sapiens (human) is the source of this 72-nucleotide microRNA precursor. It matches the Rfam family "mir-622 microRNA precursor family". NCBI's taxonomy places the organism in Eukaryota, Metazoa, Chordata, Mammalia, Primates, Hominidae. The record is from Rfam.
CAAGUACUGGUCUCAGCAGAUUGAGGAGGGUACCACAGUAGUCACCACGCAGUCCGCUGAGAUUAGAGCUGC